CCUACGGGAGGCUGCAGUGGGGAAUAUUGGACAAUGGGGGGAACCCUGAUCCAGCCAUGCCGCGUGUGUGAAGAAGGCCCUCGGGUUGUAAAGCACUUUCAGUGAGGAAGAACGCCUGGUGGUUAAUACCCAUCAGGAAAGACAUCACUCACAGAAGAAGCACCGGCUAACUCCGUGCCAGCAGCCGCGGUAAUACGGAGGGUGCGAGCGUUAAUCGGAAUUACUGGGCGUAAAGCGCGCGUAGGUGGCUUGAUAAGCCGGUUGUGAAAGCCCCGGGCUCAACCUGGGAACGGCAUCCGGAACUGUCAAGCUAGAGUGCAGGAGAGGAAGGCAGAAUUCCCGGUGUAGCGGUGAAAUGCGUAGAGAUCGGGAGGAAUACCAGUUGCGAAGGCGGCCUUCUGGACUGACACUGACACUGAGGUGCGAAAGCGUGGGUAGCAAACAGGAUUAGAUACCCUGGUAGUC
This 465-nucleotide ribosomal RNA is filed under the name Vreelandella stevensii. RNAcentral's name for it is "partial 16S ribosomal RNA". It matches the Rfam family "Bacterial small subunit ribosomal RNA", at positions 338 to 795 of the family's 1533-position model. Lineage: Bacteria; Pseudomonadati; Pseudomonadota; Gammaproteobacteria; Oceanospirillales; Halomonadaceae. The record is from RNAcentral.